CGCAAUGGGCGAAAGCCUGACGGAGCGACGCCGCGUGAUGGACGAAGUGGUUCGCCACGUAAACAUCUUUUAUGAGGGAUGAAGUAAUUGACAGUACCUCAGGAAUAAGGGGCUCCUAACUCUGUGCCAGCAGGAGCGGUAAUACAGAGGCCCCAAGCAUUAUCCGGAAUCACUGGGCGUAAAGGGUCUCAAGGUGGUUAUGUUAGUCGUUUGUAAAAUCCGGGGGCUCAACCUCCGGCCCGCAAGCGAAACGGCAUGACUAGAGGGUGGGAGAGGUGCGUGGAACUCACGGUGUAGGGGUGAAAUCCGUUGAUAUCGUGGGGAACACCAAAGGCGAAGGCAGCGCACUGGCCCAUUCCUGACACUCACAGACGAAAGCCA
This 381-nucleotide ribosomal RNA is filed under the name uncultured organism. RNAcentral's name for it is "bacterial SSU rRNA". It matches the Rfam family "Bacterial small subunit ribosomal RNA", at positions 367 to 762 of the family's 1533-position model. The record is from RNAcentral.